Myotis brandtii (Brandt's bat) is the source of this 76-nucleotide non-coding RNA. The record is from Rfam. Lineage: Eukaryota; Metazoa; Chordata; Mammalia; Chiroptera; Vespertilionidae.
GAGACACCCUUAUGGGGCAGGACUUGCUUCAGUGGGGCUUUGGUGCUCACUGAGUCUGCCCCUUGAGUCUGUCACU